AUUUCUUGGGCCGCUCCCACGGCAUAUGGAGGUUCCCAGGCUAGGGGGUGAAUCGGAGCUGUAGCCACCGGCCUACGCCAGAGCCACAGCAACGCAGGAUCCGAGCCGUGUCUGCAACCUACACCAUAGCUCACGGCAACGCCGGAUCAUUAACCCACUGAGCAAGGGCAGGGACCGAACCCACAACCUCAUGGUUCCCAGUCAGAUUCGUUAACAACUGCACCACGACAGGAACUCCAAUCAACUAUUCUUUAAUUUAAAAAAAAAAAAUUAGAAAAGAAAAAAAAAGAAAGACCAGCCAUUGAACUGUGAGAUAGCAGGCUUCUCUCAGCUUCAGCUGUCCUGUCAGCCUGAGAUUUCACAGACAGGAGAUGAGAGAAUUCCUUUCCUACAUGGUCGAAGAGACCAAGGGAAUUUUGGGGGUGGUAGAACUGUCUUGUGUCCUGAUUGUAGUGGUUGUUAAAAGUUAUAGAACUGCAUAACCAAAACAGUCAAAUUUACUGCAUGUUACUUUUAGAAAUUAAAAAAUAAAAAUACAAUUACAAAUACCAAAAAAGAACUCUUAUUCAAUAACUCUUACAAUUCUUAAUCAUUUUGACCUUCCUUCUCAAGAAAAACAUCAGGACAAGUGAGAAUUUGUUAACAUUACAGAUUAUAAAGAUUUUUAAAAAAUACUAUAAAAUUUAGACUUGAUCUCUCUUUAUCUCUAAUCUGUCCAUAUGUUUAUAAAGAAUGGAUAAUAAAUGGUCUGAGCAUGCAGGAGAGCAGGUAGCCAGGAGUCACCACCCACUAUUUGAGAUAACAGAAGUAUAAAGUACUGAUAAUGGAGUAUUAAACAAACAAGGUGAAAAGCAAUUCUUUCCAUUUCAGCUGAUGCUAAGAAACCAGCUGUGCAGUACUUUCUUAGUAUAGAAAUAAUGGCCUGUGCUUCCACCUCUAUGUUUUUCUCUUUCAAGAGAACUUGCACUUCUUUCCCAGUCUCUGGAGAGCAGAUGAAAAUAGGACUGUUACUGAUGAGGAGUUCCUGUUGUGGCUCAGUGAUAACCAACCCAGCUAGUACCCGUGAGGAUGCAGGUUCGAUCCCUGGCCUUGCUCAGUGGGUUAAGGAUCUGGUGUUACCACGAGCUGUGGUGUAGUUUGCAGAUGUGGCUUAGAUCCUACAUAGCUGUGGCUGUGGUGUAGGCCAGAAGCUGCAGCUUCAAUUUGACCCCUAACCUGGGAACCUCCAUAUGCCAUGGAUGCAGCCCUAAAAAGAAAGAAAAAAAAGAAAAAAACCGAGAAGAUGAAUAUAUUUUCUUCUAGUAGCCUCCAUCCUUGUCAUUUGGUGUUCCCUGUUAAAACUUUUGACUCAUCUGCUCACAUCUGGAUUACUAUUAUAAUUGUUUUAGCCAAUAAGCAAAUAGUUCUAAAGGAGAUAGUUCUUCCACUUUUUCACAAUUGUGGGAGAAUAAAAAAGUAUUUAGAGUCUCAGAUUUUGAUGAAGAGAGAGGAUGAGAAAACUGAAAAAUAGAGAAAAGGGGAAGACAAGGUGGAGAAGGACUGGUAGAGGGAAACAGCUGAAAAUAGAGAGGAAAACUUACAUGACAAAAGGAGAAAAAAGGAAGGCAUGAAAGUAAAAAAGAAAGAUUUUCAAUAGGAACAGAAGUAGAUUUUUAGAAGUAGGUUCCUAUUUUAUUAUUACUAUUAUUUUUUGGCUGCACGCACGGCAUGUGGAAAUUCCCAGGCCAGGGGUCAAACCCAAGCCGUAGCAGUGACCUGAAUCACACAUUCUAAUUACUGCUAUGAAGCUGUUUCAUGUCAAACUGUUAUUUAUUUAUUUCCCCAUAGCCCUUCUUCUCCUGGGUUCAAGCAUGUAGUUAUGGUUGUCUACUGUGUAGUACAGCACUGGUCUCACCUGCUCAUCUUCCUUCUCCUUCUAUGGAGAUGCAAUGGGAGUAAUAAUAAAAAUUAUCUUGCCUACUUAGAGCUUCAGCACCAGCUUGACUAUUUUCAAGUGUCUAAAGCAUUUCUUUUGAAUGUCUCAGGUCCAUGGUUGCCUCAGCACCCUUCUUUUAUAUUUUUCUUGGUAGUAUGUGAAUAAAUGUAUCAUGAAUCAGAAAAGUCCUCUUGUUAAGGUGCAGAGGCUCCUUUUGGGGAUUUCUGGGGCUUGUUGCUACUUUCAUAGUGCUUUGUCUGUUCCGUCCCCCCUUCUUCCAUGAUGUAUAGGUAGAAUAGCUACAUUUAUAUGCACUUUAAAAAUAAGGACACUUGAGAGCUGGUCAGGUUAAGAGGCAAGACUCACAAUAAUACUUUCAGGAAUAAGUUGCCCUUUAUCUGUUAAUCCCUUAUUUGUUGAGCAGUUUGGGAGGUUAAAGG
RNAcentral lists this long non-coding RNA (2355 nucleotides) under Sus scrofa (pig). RNAcentral's name for it is "lncRNA (ENSSSCG00030047731.1)". The record is from RNAcentral. Lineage: Eukaryota; Metazoa; Chordata; Mammalia; Artiodactyla; Suidae.